Molecule: ribosomal RNA, 200 nt
Filed under: uncultured bacterium
Lineage: Bacteria
Description: partial 16S ribosomal RNA
Rfam family: Bacterial small subunit ribosomal RNA
Source: RNAcentral
UAGUCUGCAACCCGACUACACGAAGCUGGAAUCGCUAGUAAUCGCGAAUCAGAAUGUCGCGGUGAAUACGUUCCCGGGCCUUGUACACACCGCCCGUCACACCAUGGGAGUCGGGAAUGCCCGAAGUCAGUGACCCAACCAUAUGGAGGGAGCUGCCGAAGGCAGGUCUGAUAACUGGGGUGAAGUCGUAACAAGGUAGC